RNAcentral lists this ribosomal RNA (253 nucleotides) under uncultured bacterium. RNAcentral's name for it is "partial 16S ribosomal RNA". It matches the Rfam family "Bacterial small subunit ribosomal RNA", at positions 524 to 776 of the family's 1533-position model. The record is from RNAcentral.
UACGUAGGGCGCAAGCGUUAUCCGGAAUUAUUGGGCGUAAAGAGCUCGUAGGCGGUUUGUCGCGUCUGCCGUGAAAGUCCGGGGCUCAACUCCGGAUCUGCGGUGGGUACGGGCAGACUAGAGUGCAGUAGGGGAGACUGGAAUUCCUGGUGUAGCGGUGAAAUGCGCAGAUAUCAGGAGGAACACCGAUGGCGAAGGCAGGUCUCUGGGCUGUAACUGACGCUGAGGAGCGAAAGCAUGGGGAGCGAACAGG